GUGAUUUCUGCCCAGUGCUCUGAAUCUCAAAGUGAAGAAAUUCAACCAAGCGCGGGUAAAUGGCGGGAGUAACUAUGACUCUCUUAAGGUAGCCAAAUGCCUCGUCAUCUAAUUAGUGACGUGCAUGAAUGGAUUAACGAGAUUCCCACUGUCCCUGUCUACUAUCUAGCGAAACCACAGCCAAGGGAACGGGCUUGGCGAAAUCAGCGGGGAAAGAAGACCCUGUUGAGCUUGACUCUAGUCCGACUUUGUGAAAUGAC
This 260-nucleotide ribosomal RNA is filed under the name Triticum aestivum (bread wheat). RNAcentral's name for it is "partial small subunit ribosomal RNA". It matches the Rfam family "Eukaryotic large subunit ribosomal RNA", at positions 2191 to 2450 of the family's 3401-position model. The record is from RNAcentral. Lineage: Eukaryota; Viridiplantae; Streptophyta; Magnoliopsida; Poales; Poaceae.